AAAUUUAUUGGUUACCGUCUUGGAGUCUUAUUUACCUAAGUCUCUCUCGACCUAUCACCGACAUAUUUGUGCACUGUAUAAAAAAACCCACUCUAAUUGUCUGAUACUAUUUCUUUUUGUGUUUUUUUACUCUGUAAAAAACGUGAAUACGAAUAUAAAUA
Molecule: unclassified non-coding RNA, 161 nt
Filed under: uncultured fungus
Lineage: Eukaryota; Fungi
Description: sequence contains ITS1
Source: RNAcentral